This is a long non-coding RNA of Rhipicephalus sanguineus (brown dog tick), 287 nucleotides long. RefSeq lists it as uncharacterized. The transcript has 3 exons. Lineage: Eukaryota; Metazoa; Arthropoda; Arachnida; Ixodida; Ixodidae. The record is from RefSeq and is a predicted model, not a curated record.
GGUCAUACCGCAUCAAAACAGGGCACAAAUACUCAGCGACAUCUACGACCUUGCCCGGUCGGGCGCACUUCAAAUGAGCCUAGCCUUCUCUGCCAGUCGCUACCUGACCAAGGAAAGAGAGUUUCUGCCGUGGAAAGCAGUCUUCAAUGCCUGGAAAGGCAUCGAGAAGCUUCUUUUGGGCACCAACAUAUUCCCGUCCUGGAAGGCAUUUGUCGUGCGUCUCAUCACCUCCGCUUACACGGCGCUAAACUGGGAAGAGAAGCCUACCGACGAUGUUCAGAAAACGC